Molecule: unclassified non-coding RNA, 167 nt
Filed under: Ascomycota sp.
Lineage: Eukaryota; Fungi; Ascomycota
Description: partial contains small subunit ribosomal RNA, internal transcribed spacer 1, and 5.8S ribosomal RNA
Rfam family: Eukaryotic small subunit ribosomal RNA (bases 1-47)
Source: RNAcentral
AAAGUCGUAACAAGGUCUCCGUUGGUGAACCAGCGGAGGGAUCAUUACAGAGUUGCAAAACUCCCACAACCAUCGCGAACGUUACCCACAACUCUAUUAUCUCAUGGUCUCUUCUGAGUACAGCACAUAAUAAGUUAAAACUUUCAACAACGGAUCUCUUGGUUCUG